CGCCUGGGGAGUACGGCCGCAAGGUUAAAACUCAAAUGAAUUGACGGGGGCCCGCACAAGCGGUGGAGCAUGUGGUUUAAUUCGAUGCAACGCGAAGAACCUUACCUGGUCUUGACAUCCACAGAACUUUCCAGAGAUGGAUUGGUGCCUUCGGGAACUGUGAGACAGGUGCUGCAUGGCUGUCGUCAGCUCGUGUUGUGAAAUGUUGGGUUAAGUCCCGCAACGAGCGCAACCCUUAUC
Molecule: ribosomal RNA, 240 nt
Filed under: Klebsiella pneumoniae
Lineage: Bacteria; Pseudomonadati; Pseudomonadota; Gammaproteobacteria; Enterobacterales; Enterobacteriaceae
Description: partial 16S ribosomal RNA
Rfam family: Bacterial small subunit ribosomal RNA
Source: RNAcentral